CCUACGGGGCGCAGCAGUCGAGAAUCAUUCACAAUGGGGGAAACCCUGAUGGUGCGACGCCGCGUGGGGGAAUGAAGGUCUUCGGAUUGUAAACCCCUGUCAUGUGGGAGCAAAUUAAAAAGAUAGUACCACAAGAGGAAGAGACGGCUAACUCUGUGCCAGCAGCCGCGGUAAUACAGAGGUCUCAAGCGUUGUUCGGAAUCACUGGGCUUAAAGCGUGCGUAGGCGGGUUCGUAAGUCGUGUGUGAAAGGCGCGGGCUCAACCCGCGGACGGCACAUGAUACUGCGAGACUAGAGUAAUGGAGGGGGAACCGGAAUUCUCGGUGUAGCAGUGAAAUGCGUAGAUAUCGAGAGGAACACUCGUGGCGAAGGCGGGUUCCUGGACAUUAACUGACGCUGAGGCACGAAGGCCAGGGGAGCGAAAGGGAUUAGAUACCCUUGUAGUC
RNAcentral lists this ribosomal RNA (446 nucleotides) under uncultured bacterium. RNAcentral's name for it is "partial 16S ribosomal RNA". It matches the Rfam family "Bacterial small subunit ribosomal RNA", at positions 338 to 795 of the family's 1533-position model. The record is from RNAcentral.